Molecule: transfer RNA, 82 nt
Filed under: Nitrosomonas mobilis
Lineage: Bacteria; Pseudomonadati; Pseudomonadota; Betaproteobacteria; Nitrosomonadales; Nitrosomonadaceae
Description: Nitrosococcus mobilis tRNA
Rfam family: tRNA
About the family: Transfer RNA (tRNA) molecules are approximately 80 nucleotides in length. Their secondary structure includes four short double-helical elements and three loops (D, anti-codon, and T loops).
Source: Rfam by way of RNAcentral
GCGAAAGUGGCGGAAUUGGUAGACGCACCAGAUUUAGGUUCUGGCGCCGUAAGGUGUGGGGGUUCGAGUCCCCCCUUUCGCA